CCCUAAAUAUAAUAUAAAAAAUUAUGUCCUAGUAGUUUAGGACAUAUUCUACUAACUUCAACUCCAACAAUGUGCCUUAUUUUCACUAUAUGUUUAAUAUUUUAUUAUUAAAAGUUCACUUUCAUCAUUAAAACAUAAUAUAAAAUAGAGAGAGAAAGAGAGUGUUGGUAAGAAUUUAUUAUAAAAUAUAGGAUAGGGCAAGGAGAGAGAGUGCCUCAAAAA
Molecule: long non-coding RNA, 222 nt
Filed under: Daucus carota (carrot)
Lineage: Eukaryota; Viridiplantae; Streptophyta; Magnoliopsida; Apiales; Apiaceae
Description: long non-coding RNA (DCAR_LNC003409)
Source: RNAcentral